GCGGCGAGGAUGAUGAACUGUAUGAAAUAUGAAACAUUUGAGGCCAUGUAAUAAGGUAAGGACAUCACCCGAUAUCUAUAGCUUCGCUCAUCCUGUUGGAUUGUGAUUCUGGCUGUCUUCAUCCUUCCAAAUACUUCUCUUGCCAACAUGACCCGUUGAGUAUUUGGCCAUGAUGAGAUAACCUUUAUUGAUUUUCACCAGCACUUUCACAGCCGCGCUGAAGUCGAUGACCACUGAAGCGCUUCAUGCUAAAGGCCAUCUAUUCUUUUUUCAUUUACAACUCAAGAAGGCUCGGUUGGAUGAAUAAAUAACAUGAUGGCUGUUUUUACAUUUGAAGCCUUUUCUCUAUUCUUUUCUUGUUCGUUGUGUUUCUGUGGAUUAAGUAAUCGCAUUUUUUAAAUUUUUGGGUGAUUUAGUUAUCGAAUUGUAUCUGCGUUUUGAACUUGAGGUAAUCCAAUCCAUUCCGAGUGGUUCUGGCCAUUCAGUUUCCUUAGGACAAAAGAAUUCCUUGCUCUUCAAAAACAUCCACGUUCGGUGGUUUAAAUUCAGUAUCGUUUCCUUUGUAUGUUUCGACUGUACCUGAUAUUGGGUCUAACUUGAUGAGCCCGUUCUGGAUCAUCAAAGAUUUGGAAUCAUCUUCGCGGGUAAACUAUUUAGGAACUGCAGAGUCUGCGAAUAGGCACCUAAAAGAAAUGGACGAUACCUUCUGUGUGGUAGUGUUCAACUGAGUCCCAAAAGUUGUAAUAUGCUUUUUGAUUUUGAAAUCAAACAAACAAAAAUCAAUCUGGUCAAUAGGUAACGACAAAUUCGACAUUUAAAUUGUGAGUCUCCCAUGGACGUUUUGCAAAGGGAAGAGUAGUGAUCGGCAGAUCGGCUGUUUUCGCGGUUACCAAUCACCAAUAAUUCGUAUGGGUUUAGAUGGGAUAGGAUGUUAUUCAAAUGGAAAAUAUGUAUAUUGAGUGGAGAAAAGAGCUGUUUUGAGUUACCCUUUCGAUUGAACUAAUCAACGGAUUCAUAUUUUUGUUCUUUAGAAAGAGGUUUGGAAGAAAGUGAGAUUUUUCGUAAACAAACACAACUAACGUAAAUUUGACAAACAGCUGAAAUUCAGGCG
Daphnia pulicaria is the source of this 1111-nucleotide long non-coding RNA. RefSeq lists it as uncharacterized. The record is from RefSeq and is a predicted model, not a curated record. The transcript has 6 exons. Lineage: Eukaryota; Metazoa; Arthropoda; Branchiopoda; Diplostraca; Daphniidae.